This 612-nucleotide unclassified non-coding RNA is filed under the name Hevea brasiliensis (rubber tree). Lineage: Eukaryota; Viridiplantae; Streptophyta; Magnoliopsida; Malpighiales; Euphorbiaceae. The record is from RNAcentral.
AAGAAAGGACUUUAGAGGUUAUAUGCCUGCAGAGUCACUCCUAGUAAUAACAUCAUUAUAUACAAUUAGUAAAAUUAUGGUGGCCCUAAACUGUCUAUAAAAUAUUGAGUUAUCACAUUUACUCUUUUCCAUUCCAAAUUCUUGAAUUGCCUCACUAAAUUUUUGAAACCAAGCACAAGGACUUUGUUUCAAACCAUACAAAGAUUUGCGAAGUCGACAAACUUUCCCAUACUCUCUGGAGCAACAAACCCAAGAGGUUGCUUCAUAUAGACUUCCUUAUGUAAAUCUCCAUGUAGAAAAGCAUUUUUUAUGUCUAACUGGUGUAAAGGCCAGUUAUAAGUAGCUACCAUAGAUAUGAAUAGGCGAAUAGAGGUAGAGCUCUUCCUCAUGCUGUGUAAAUCUCCAUAUUUACUAUUAUGUAACAAUAACAGUCCUUGUACUCACAUUUUUUUGUCUAGAUGGGGGCAGCAGCUCAUCCUCAUGCUUUGUUUCUAGAUUGGGGAAUUUUAAUCUGUUGUCUCACUUUUUCUCUCAAUUUUCGAUCUAAAAUUUUCUAUCUUUCACUUCAUCUCUUGGGCUAAGAUCAUCAACUAUCUUUCUAGUUUUACAUAU